This 1336-nucleotide long non-coding RNA is filed under the name Piliocolobus tephrosceles (Ugandan red Colobus). RNAcentral describes it as "lncRNA (ENSPTEG00000013914.1)". Lineage: Eukaryota; Metazoa; Chordata; Mammalia; Primates; Cercopithecidae. The record is from RNAcentral.
ACAGAAAAGACUCAUUUAUUAGCCAAAAAAUAUACAACGAAACCAUAUUGUUUGAUAGUCUAAAUAAUGAAAAGGGAGACGCAUGGGUUUACGUAUCGCCUAACAAAAGGACUGAUGAAUGUGCUAACGAACGGAAUAGUAAACGGACUAGUAAACGGGCUAGUGAACAGGCUAGUGAACGGACUAGUGAACCGACUAGUGAACGAACUAGUGAACGGAUGGGCGAACAUACUAGUGAACAUACCAGUGAGCGGGCUAGUGAACGGACUAGUGAACGUAUUAGUGAACAGAAUAGUGAACGGACAGGCAAACGCGCGAGCGAAUUGUCUAAUUGCAAAAACAAAACUGCAGUAUAUAACGAAACGUUUGGUAAUGGAGACUUUUGGCAUAAACAUAUUGACAUAGAACGGUUGGAUUACGAACAAUCUGAUCACCAUCAAAAGAAAAAAAAAAAAAAAAUUAAACACGUAAGGGUGCGCACGCAUAUGGAAGAUACGGAUAUUGAAUGGUUUUAUAAUAAUUAUAAAAGUUUUGAUAAUUUUUUAAGUGAAAAAAGUUUGGAAGAAAGCGAUUUUGUGUUUUUUAAAAACACGAAAGAUGAAGGUACGAAGAAAUCGUUGGGAGGUAACUUUUUUGAAAAUAUAUUUAAGCAUUUGGAAAGUGUGCAUGCGACUAGACAUUUGGAUAGACAUACGGAUGGACAUAUGAAUGGACAUAUGGAUGGACAUAUGGAUGGACAUAUGGGUGGACAUAUGGAUAGACACACAACUGGUAGCACAGCUUUCCAAACCAAUUGUACAUACAUAGAUCGUACAAACAUAACAUAUGAGAUAAAACCAUCAGUAGAAAAAAACAAAUCUACUAUUACACAGUCGGCGUGUGAAAACAUGCUAAGAGAAGGGUACGAAAAAAUUUUAAGUUAUUAUAAAUUGAAUAGAGAAAUAUACAUAAAUGAUUGCAUAAAUAAAAAAUCAGAAAUGUUAAUAAUUUUACAGCAUUAUAAAAAUAUAAUGAAUUUUUAUGAAAAUGAAGAAACAACAGAUGAUAAUUAUGAACAGGCUAAUACAAAUUAUUAUAAAAAAAAUUAUAAUUUUGAAAAAUCUUUUUAUUUGGGUGAAUUAAUGUCAGAAACGGAUUGUUUUAUUAUAGCUCAUAAUAAAAAUAUAAUAAGAAAUCAUUUCCAUAUAGUAAAAAAAGAUUAUUUAAACAUUUGUCUGGAUUUAUUAGUGACAGUAGAUUUGUAUAUGGAAUCGAAAGUAGAUAUAUAUAAUAGACCAUUUUAUUUUAUUAAAAAUUUGAUUAUUACAUGUGCAAAAAUUAGUUUCUCAAGAUAUUU